AACGAACGCUGGCGGCAUGCCUAACACAUGCAAGUCGAACGAGACCUUCGGGUCUAGUGGCGCACGGGUGCGUAACGCGUGGGAACCUGCCCUUAGGUUCGGAAUAACUCCCCGAAAGGGGUGCUAAUACCGGCUAAUGUCUUCGGACCAAAGAUUUAUCGCCGUGGGAUGGGCCCGCGUUGGAUUAGCUAGUUGGUAGGGUAAAAGCCUACCAAGGCGACGAUACAUAGCUGGUCUGAGAGGAUGAUCAGCCACACUGGGACUGAGACACGGCCCAGACUCCUACGGGAGGCAGCAGUGGGGAAUAUUGGACAAUGGGCGAAAGCCUGAUCCAGCAAUGCCGCGUGAGUGAUGAAGGCCUUAGGGUUGUAAAGCUCUUUUACCCGGGAUGAUAAUGACAGUACCGGGAGAAUAAGCUCCGGCUAACUCCGUG
RNAcentral lists this ribosomal RNA (433 nucleotides) under uncultured bacterium. RNAcentral's name for it is "partial 16S ribosomal RNA". It matches the Rfam family "Bacterial small subunit ribosomal RNA", at positions 29 to 507 of the family's 1533-position model. The record is from RNAcentral.